This is a long non-coding RNA of Dicentrarchus labrax (European seabass), 2433 nucleotides long. RefSeq lists it as uncharacterized. The transcript is spliced from 6 exons. NCBI's taxonomy places the organism in Eukaryota, Metazoa, Chordata, Actinopteri, Moronidae. The record is from RefSeq and is a predicted model, not a curated record.
CUAUGUGAUGUUUGAUUGAUGUGACGCUUGACUGAAUCCCACAGGAAAUGAAUGUGAGUCUGCAGUCAUGCACUUAAAAUGAGAACCUCUGAAAAUGUAAUUUCAGAACCCAUUUCCUCCAAUUUGAGCCAUUAUUGAAUGGACUGCUGGCCCCAUGCGCUCGCAUUGUCUCAUAUGGUCAGGUUGGGCAGGAUAAUGUGUUUGUGUGUGUGUGUGUGUGUGUGUGUGUGUGUGUGUGUGUGUGUGUGUGUGUGUAUGUGUGCUCAGUGUAUGUGUGUGUGCGUGCUCAGUAUGUGUGUACUGCAGUGUGUGUGCCCAUAAUCGAAUGCUGUGCUUUCAUAAUUUCCCCCUAGUUUUUACAUGUGGCUUGUUUGUUUUAAUUUUAAACAUUUCAAUGCUAGUGUGCGCCUGUUGCUUAUAUGAGAGAGUCUAUGUGUGUGUGAAUGUGUGCUCCCUCCAGAGAUGGGAGGAGGAAGAGGGGGAGGAUGAAAAGAGGAUAAAGAUCAGUCUCCUCGAUAGGAGGUUUGCUACUAUUCCCGCGAGUAGUUCGGGCUCUUGUUUGCAGCUCCCUCAUUAGGAAUUCUGUGCAACCCAGAGACCCUCGGAGGGUUAACCCGGUCACACGGCAACACAACACCCUGACUUACCCAGCCUCACCUAUAGCCUCACCCUUCUCUACUCUCCUUGUCUCUCCUCUAAAGGCUCCCUCCUCUCCUCUUCUUCUGAUAUUGUAAUUCAUUGAUGUCUGGCUCACCCUCACACUCUCCCAUCUUGUAUUCAGUCGCCGCCUCUCCUCCACUAUAAUUUUAUGAACCACAUCUUCUCCAAGUCUGAUGAUGGUAACUCUUGGUUCACACUGCCUACCUGAGCAGUGUGUGACGACUACAGCGCUGAACAGCUGCGUCUGGCCUGCGUGCGAUGUUUACACCGACAGCCUGUCAGCUGUGUGGCUGCUGCUGCUGCCAACCCUGUCUGGUUGCUCAGACCAUUGCUCUUGUGGAAAGGUUUUGCUCCAACAAGAGGUUAAGUGAAAGUGAAAGAUGCAGCACCUUCAUUCUGAGCUCUCGGCUUUCCGUCCCCUCAAAGGUCAGCGCCACAGAUUCUCAGCUCAAAGUUCAUCCAAGUUGAAGGCCAUCCCUGAUGUGCUGACCGGCAGUUCAGGCUCAGCCCUAGUGGAGGAGGGAGGAGAAAAGACCUUUGAAGUGAAACAGAUCCCCGUCAGCUUCAGUGCUUUAACAAAGUAGCAGCUCAAAGCUCUGCGAUGGAAAGCGACGGCAGGUUGAGUGCGUGACCCAGUGCAGGCUGCAGCAGACCAUAAUUCUAACCAGAGAGACCCUGCCUGUGACAGCCACCAUCCGUCUAACAGCUGUGCCGUGUGUCUGCAAGAGACAGAAAACUGAUGUAUGCGCAGUAACUUCCUGGAGUCCUGUCGUCACCGGGAGGUUGCCAGGCAACCGGCGGAGGAAGAUUGAUGUGAUCGAAAGCUCCAGAAUGGACUUUGUGCUAAGAUUGUCUACUGAAUGAACUUUCAGUCUUUUCUAUUCUGUGAACAAAAGGAACAGUCUCCACCAGCCAGGGACAGAGAUCCAUAUAAUUCAUGGAUAAGUAGGGCGAGCACUCACAAAUGUUCAUCUUUCUUUUCUUUAAUUAACUUAGUAGCAACACUAACAAUAUUCUAAUUUACUUGGUUGCCUUCUGCCUUUUACAGUCCUUAGCAGCGUGUGUGAGGCAGUUUCUUCCGCACAAUAAAUGUCUCUCCCAUUAAAUUAUAUCCUGACCUGUGGCAGAUUUCCCCUGGACAUUAAAAAAAAUUUAUUUGGCUCUCACUGUACAGUAGCUGCUGAAAAAGUCUGGUUCCAGUUCAUUGAUCCCUGUCUAAGACUGUUAUGUUGGAGACAAUACUAAAUGCAAUAUUCUCUCUUCCUCUAUUCUACUGUAUGAAAGCUGGCUACAUGCCGGCCUGUUCCAUGUUGAAACACUGAAACUAAUACACUGUUUUUUCUCCAUCCAUCAACAUACCUUAUUCAUAAUGUUAAUCAUCCAAUGAAUAUUUCAUAUUUACAUGGGUAAUUAUCAAUUUGCUUAAUUGCAUACAACAUCAAGCCUAAUCUUUGCUUCAUACUGUUGUUGUGUGGUCUUGUCUCAUCAUACAAAACACAAUAUCUACUCAUCCACGGACAAAGAGCUGACUGAGUGGACUCACCAUCAUGCAUUAUGGAGACACUAAUUAUAUACCCUGAAUAAUUCACAUAUAUUCCAAUUAACCAUCAUUCGUGUGCCUAAUAGACGGGGCUGAGAAACAGAAAGGGCACAAGUACUGGUGUGCGUUUGUGUACUUAUUCUGUGUUUAUGUGUCACUACAGUGUCUGUACUCUAACUGCGCAUUCAGCGUAUAACCCCAGUGUGUGUGUGUCCAAAAUGCUUUCAUACUGU